This 634-nucleotide ribosomal RNA is filed under the name Pythium sp. M2-05. Its description in RNAcentral is "eukaryotic LSU rRNA". The stretch from base 47 to 201 matches the Rfam family "5.8S ribosomal RNA". The record is from RNAcentral. Lineage: Eukaryota; Oomycota; Peronosporomycetes; Pythiales; Pythiaceae.
CUGAUUAUACUGUGAGAACGAAAGUUCUUGCUUUGAACUAGAUAACAACUUUCAGCAGUGGAUGUCUAGGCUCGCACAUCGAUGAAGAACGCUGCGAACUGCGAUACGUAAUGCGAAUUGCAGAAUUCAGUGAGUCAUCGAAAUUUUGAACGCAUAUUGCACUUCCGGGUUAUGCCUGGAAGUAUGUCUGUAUCAGUGUCCGUAAAUCAACCUUGUCUUUCUUCCUUCCGUGUAGUCGGUGGCGGAGAGUUGCAGAUGUGAAGUGUCUCGCUGUUGCUGGUGGUGCAUUUUUGUGCCGCCGAGUUUGCGAGUCCUUUUAAAUGGACACGACUUUUCUCUUUUUUGUAUCUGCUUGGUGGUGUGCUCGAGCGCGGUGGUUUUCGGAUCGCUCGCGGCUGUCGGCGACUUCGGUGAAUGCAUGAUGGAGUGGACCUCGAUUCGCGGUAUGUUGGGCUUCGGCUGGACAAUGUUGCUUAUUGUGUGUUUGUUCCGCGUUCGCCUUGAGGUGUACUGGUGGCUGUGGGAUGUAUUUGGUUGCUGCUGUUGGUAGUGCGUGCUUCCUGUUGGUGGGUGCAGCUGCUUUUCGUAUUUUGUACGUGGGGGCAGAAGAGGAGUUUCAAUUUGGGAAGUUUUG